This is a long non-coding RNA of Oreochromis aureus, 1495 nucleotides long. RefSeq lists it as uncharacterized. NCBI's taxonomy places the organism in Eukaryota, Metazoa, Chordata, Actinopteri, Cichliformes, Cichlidae. The transcript has 3 exons. The record is from RefSeq and is a predicted model, not a curated record.
CUGUGAAUCUCUGUCUCAGUUCUCAGCUCCCAGACAUCUAGUCUUAGAGAGCUGGACCUGAGUAACAACAACCUUCAAGAUUCAGGAGUGAAGCUUCUGUCUGAUGCACUGCAAAGUCCACACUGGAAACUGGAAACUCUGAGACUAAGUGGUUGUAACCUGUCAGGGAGAAGCUGUGAAGUGCUGUCCUCAGUUCUCAGCUCCCAGUCCUCUAGUCUGAGAGAGCUGGACCUGAGUAAUAAUGACCUACAUGAUUCAGGAGUGAAGCUUCUGUCUGCUGCACUGCAGAGUCCACACUGGAGACUGGAAACUCUGAGACUCAGUGGCUGUAACCUGUUAGAGAGACGCUGUCAAUCUCAGUCCUCAGUUCUCAGCUCCCAGUCCUCUAGUCUGAGAGAGCUGGACCUGAGUAAAAAUGACCUUGAGGAUUCAGGAGUGAAGCUUCUGUCUGCUGCACUGCCGAGUUUACAUUGUACACUGGAAACUCUGAGGUUAGGAUUCAAUCUGUCCUCCUCAGCAUUAUUUUUGAAUAAGUCUUACAUUACUAAAUAUAUGGCUAUUGUCAGGUGCUUUUUAUUUACCUUUGGGUUGAUUAUUUGAGUCUUAAUUACUCUCUGUAAAGAUUUUCACAACAGUACUAGGGCAACUAAAAUUUACUUUUGGUUGUUGAUAAUGUUUUUUCGACAACCAAAAGUAAGUAACCAAAAGAUAAGGAUUUUUCGUUGAUUAGUUGACAAUUAUUUCAAUAAGUCCUAUCUCAGCUUCCUAGUGGAGCCUCCUGUUCUAGGCUCCAGUAGGAAUAUCAGCUUGUUUUCUCGUCCCAGAGCAAAUUCAAAUAAUGACAGAAGAAACGCAUGAAUUUCAAAAUAAUUAAACAGAUUUUUAACAUUACUCAAUAGGACCUGUCAUGGAAGUUUUAAAACAACCUGCAAACACCCUUCGUGAGCCUUAUUUGAAGUGAGCUUAAUAAACACAUUGCAAUGUGCUAUGAUCUCUUCCUAUGGUCACCGCCCUCACAUCUUAUAUACACACACAGACAAAGACAUUCCACAACUCUUACAUGUUGGCCCAUGUCACAGGCCUAUACAUUCCCUUCAAGGAAGAAAAUUACGACUAUGUUUUUCACUGAGCUGUCACCUGGAGAUUUACAUCCCUGAUAAGCAGGAAGAGUCUCAUUAUCAUUUUAACGUCUCCCAUGAACUUAAGACAGCCCCACUGUGUGUGUGUGUAUAUAUGUGUGAUAAGGCCCAUUUGUGGUGCACAUGCUUGUUUGUUUUCCAUGUAAACCUUUCAGAAUAAAGCUCAAGAUCCUGUUGAGACUUUUCAAAAUAAACUGAAUCACUUGAAAGAGUAUGCAGAGUGUUUACGGGUGAGAAGCAAAAAAAGAGCCGUUAGGUGCUAAAAAAUAAACCUUAGACUCAAACUUUGAGAGAUAACAGCAGCCGUUACAACUUAUGUCUAAAAAUGUAUCGUUUCAUGCAUCGGUUAAAACACU